Molecule: ribosomal RNA, 468 nt
Filed under: uncultured bacterium
Lineage: Bacteria
Description: partial 16S ribosomal RNA
Rfam family: Bacterial small subunit ribosomal RNA
Source: RNAcentral
GACGAACGCUGGCGGCGUGCUUAACACAUGCAAGUCGAACGGAAAGGCCCUGCUUUUGUGGGGUGCUCGAGUGGCGAACGGGUGAGUAACACGUGAGUAACCUGCCCUUGACUUUGGGAUAACUUCAGGAAACUGGGGCUACUACCGGAUAGGAGCUCCUGCUGCAUGGUGGGGGUUGGAAAGUUUCGGCGGUUGGGGAUGGACUCGCGGCUUAUCAGCUUGUUGGUGGGGUAGUGGCUUACCAAGGCUUUGACGGGUAGCCGGCCUGAGAGGGUGACCGGCCACAUUGGGACUGAGAUACGGCCCAGACUCCUACGGGAGGCAGCAGUGGGGAAUAUUGCAAAAUGGGCGGAAGCCUGAUGCAGCAACGCCGCGUGGGGGAUGACGGCCUUCGGGUUGUAAACCGCUUUCGCCUGUGACGAAGCGUGAGUGACGGUAAUGGGUAAAGAAGCACCGGCUAACUACGUG